CCUACGGGUGGCUGCAGUGGGGAAUAUUGGGCAAUGGGCGCAAGCCUGACCCAGCAACGCCGCGUGAAGGAAGAAGGCUUUCGGUUUGUAAACUUCUUUUGUCAGGGACGAAGCAAGUGACGGUACCCGACGAAUAAGCCUCGGCUAACUACGUGCCAGCAGCCGCGGUAAUACGGAGGUGGCAAGCGUUAACCGGAUUUACUGGGUGUAAAGGGCGUCUAGGUGGGACGGCAAGUCAGAUGUGAAAACCACGGGCUCAACCUGUGGCCUGCAUUUGAAACUGUAGUUCGUGAGUACUGGAGAGGCAGACGGAAUUCCUAGUGUAGCGGUGAAAGGCGUAGAUAUUAGGAGGAACCCCAGUGGCGAAGGCGGUCUGCUGGACAGCAACUGACGCUGAGGCGCGAAAGCGUGGGGAGCAAACAGGAUUAGAUACCCGGGUAGUC
RNAcentral lists this ribosomal RNA (443 nucleotides) under uncultured bacterium. Its description in RNAcentral is "partial 16S ribosomal RNA". It matches the Rfam family "Bacterial small subunit ribosomal RNA", at positions 338 to 795 of the family's 1533-position model. The record is from RNAcentral.